Molecule: long non-coding RNA, 3194 nt
Filed under: Salvia miltiorrhiza (redroot sage)
Lineage: Eukaryota; Viridiplantae; Streptophyta; Magnoliopsida; Lamiales; Lamiaceae
Description: long non-coding RNA (SMIL_LNC005034)
Source: RNAcentral
UCAUGGGCUCCAAGUUAUUUAAUUGGGCCUCAAGUCAUUAGGUCUAUAUAUAGUUCUUUACGACUUAGGGUUAAUUAUCUGGGGAUCAUUGUUUAGGGACAGCAAUAGCUGUAGGGCAGAGAUAUUUUUCUCUGAGGGCCUCGCAGGAGGAGUUUAUAUAUCGUAUUUUUUAUUUUCUUUCUUAUUUCUUCAUCUUCAUACGCCUUUACUCUAUCAAAUUGGUCCGACCUGCCGGAUCAGAGACGAUGGUGGCAACUACCAGGGAGUACCGAACAGCGACUGGACGGAUUAGAGAAGGCGGUUGAAGAACUGAUUACAGCGGUGGAUGGGUUUCGUGCGUAUCAAGUUUCAACGGACUCGAAACUUGACGCGCUGUUGAAGAAGUUUAAUAUUUCACCUCCUGGCACCGGCGAUGAAUCAGAGGGAAGCCGUGACUCCGAAUCGGAGACCGAAACGCCCACUCCUCUUCAGGUUUUUCAAAAGAUGGAUCUUCCCAAUUUUGACGGGACAGAUGCACUUGCAUGGCUCGCACGUGCUGACCAAUAUUUUCUCGUGCAUGAGACACCAAGGGACAAGAGAUUGAAGACAGCCCUAAUCGCUAUGUCAGGCCCGGCCAUGGCGUGGUGCAACAUUGCUGCGACGCUGUCCGACGCUAACCUGGACUCGAUUCAGCCAUGAACUUCUGAAUCGGUUUGAACAUAUUAAUGCUGCAAUUAAUGGGUACGAGGCGCUGGGGGCGACAAAACAGGAAGGGUCUUUGGAGGAUUACAUCGCUGCAUUCGAAGGGCGUGCGGUGCAACUUCCUGAUUUCACGGAUGAGCAAUACCUUGGUUUUUUCUUGAGUGGGCUCAAACCACACAUUCGCAAACAAAUCCAAGACCCUACGAUCACGGAUUACUCGGCAGCAGUUUUGAUGGCUCGAAAGGUCGAGCAGGAACCACCGCCAGUUACCACAGCAAGUUACUCUACCAGGCCAAUGUUCAUUCGACCUUCUUCCCCGGUCAGACCUCACAGCGCCCCACCAGCGACGAACAUAUCGUCGGUUGUCUCCCACACGUCGUCCGCUUCCCCGGCUGCAUCCCUCACUCCGUCUGCCCCUCCCCGCAAUUUUCGCAACAUCUCCACUGUGGAGUACAUGAAACACCGUGCAGCUGGCACUUGUUUUCGCUGCGGCCUGAAAUUUGGGCCAUUGCAUCGCUGCCCACCUAAAACACUACAGGUUUUAAUCGGUGACAUGGAAGAUGACCCAGGCAGGGACCUAGAGAAUUCUGAGGAUACCGGGUUGAAGGAGGAAGUCCCAUGGGGCCAUGUGAAUCAGCAACCGCCUUGAGGACAAGGCUGUUUCAACAGGCGGGCAAUUGAUUGCGUUAGAUCAGCUGCAGUCUGCAGAUUUAGGAUUAUCUUUAUUUUAUUAGUUUUUGUUAGUUUCAUAGUUAUCUUUUAUUUUUCGCAGUAGUUCAAUUAUUUAGGGUUAAGUUAUUUAGGUCAGACUCAUGGACUCCAAGUUAUUUAAUUGGGUCUCAAGUCAUUAGGUCUAUAUAUAGUUCUUUACGACUUAGGGUUAAUUAUCUUGGGAUCAUUGUUUAGGGACAACAAUAGCUGUAGGGCAGAGAUAUUUUUCUCUGAGGGCCUCGCAGGAGGAGUUUAUAUAUCGUAUUUUUAUUUUCUUUCUUAUUUCUUCAUCAUACGCCUUUACUAUAUCAAAAUCUUGUGCGACCUGCCGGAUCAGAGACGAUGGUGGCAACUACCAGGAGUACCGAACAACGACUGGACCGAUUAGAGAAGGCGGUUGAAGAACUGAUUACAGCGGUGGAUGGGUUUCGUGCGUAUCAAGUUUCAACGGACUCGAAACUUGACGCGCUGUUGAAGAAGUUUAAUAUUUCACCUACUGGCACCGGCGAUGAAUCAGAGGGAAGCCGUGACUCCGAAUCGGAGACCGAAACGCCCACUCCUCUUCAGGUUUUUCAAAAGAUGGAUCUUCCCAAUUUUGACGGGACAGAUGCACUUGCAUGGCUCGCACGUGCUGACCAAUAUUUUCUCGUGCAUGAGACACCAAGGGACAAGAGAUUGAAGACAGCCCUAAUCGCUAUGUCAGGCCCGGCCAUGGCGUGGGUGCAACUGUUGCUGCGACGCUGUCCGACGCUAACCUGGACUCGAUUCAGCCGUGAACUUCUGAAUCGGUUUGGACAUAAUGCUGCAAUUAAUGGGUACGAGGCGCUGGGGGCGACGAAAACAGGAAGGGUCUUUGGAGGAUUACAUCGCUGCAUUCGAAGGGCGUGCGGCGCAACUUCCUGAUUUCACGGAUGAGCAGUACCUUGGUUUCUUCUUGAGUGGGCUCAAACCACACAUUCGCAAACAAAUCCAAGACCCUACGGUCACGGAUUACUCGGCAGCAGUUUUGAUGGCUCGAAAGGUUGAGCAGGAACCACCGCCAGUUACCACAGCAAAUUACUCUACCAGGCCAGUGUUCAUUCGACAUUCUUCCCCGGUCAGACCUCACAGCGCCCCACCAGCGACGAACACAUCGUCGGUUGUCUCCCACACGUCGUCCGCUUCCCCGGCUGCCUCACUCACUUCGUCUGCCCCUCCCCGCAAUUUUCGCAACAUCUCCAAUGAGGAGUACAUGAAACACCGUGCAGCUGGCACUUGUUUUCGCUGCGGCCUGAAAUAUGGGCCAUUGCAUCGCUGCCCACCUAAAACACUACAGGUUUUAAUCGGUGACAUGGAAGAUGACCCGGGCAGGGACCUAGAGAAUUAUGAGGAUACCGGGCUGAAGGAGGAAGUCCCAUGGGACCAUGUGAAUCAGCAACCGCCUUGAGGACAAGGCUGUUUCGACAGGCGGGCAAUUGAUAGCGUUAGAUCAGCUGCAGUCUGCAGAUUUAGGAUUAUCUUUAUUAUAUUAGUUUUUGUUAGUUUCAUAGUUAUCUUUUAUUUUUCGCAGUAGUUCAAUUAUUUAGGGUUAAGUUAUUUAGGUCAGACUCAUGGGCUCCAAGUUAUUUAAUUGGGCCUCAAGUCAUUAGGUCUAUAUAUAGUUCUUUACGACUUAGGGUUAAUUAUCUUGGGAUCAUUGUUUAGGGACAGCAAUAGCUGUAGGGCAGAGAUAUUUUUCUCUGAGGGCCUCGCAGGAGGAGUUUUAUAUAUCGUAUUUUUAUUUUCUUUCUUAUUUCUUCAUCUUCAUACGCCUUUACUCUAUC